UUAUAUGGUCAAGCGACUAAGCGCAUACGGUGGAUGCCUUGGCAGUCAGAGGCGAUGAAGGACGUGGAAGUCUGCGAUAAGCCUAGGUAAGCCGACAACAGGCGUUACAACCUAGGAUUUCCGAAUGGGGAAACCCGCCCGCUUUUGUGGGCAUUUUGCACUGAAUCCAUAGGUGCAAAAAGCGAACCCGGAGAACUGAAACAUCUAAGUAUCCGGAGGAAAAGAAAUCAACCGAGAUUCCCCCAGUAGCGGCGAGCGAACGGGGAACAGCCGAGCAGUUUAAGCUAGUGGAAUGCGCUGGAAAGCGCAGCGAUACAGGGUGAUAGCCCCGUACACGAAAGCAAAAACUGACGUAUCAAGUAGGACGGGACAUGUGAAACCCUGUCUGAAUUGUUCCUUCGGGAACGAGGGGGAACCAUCCUCCAAGGCUAAAUACUACUGACUGACCGAUAGUGAACCAGUACCGUGAGGGAAAGGCGAAAAGAACCCCGGUGAGGGGAGUGAAAUAGAUCCUGAAACCGUGUGCGUACAAGCAGUAGGAGUCUGGCCGCUCGGUCUUGAUUGAGUGGUCGGAUGACUGCGUACCUUUUGUAUAAUGGGUCAGCGACUUAUUGUGUGUAGCAAGGUUAACCGUUUAGGGGAGCCGCAGGGAAACCGAGUCUUAAUAGGGCGUUUUAGUUGCAUGCAAUAGACCCGAAACCCGGCGAUCUAUCCAUGGGCAGGUUGAAGGUUAGGUAACACUGACUGGAGGACCGAACCCACUAAUGUUGAAAAAUUAGGGGAUGACCUGUGGAUCGGAGUGAAAGGCUAAUCAAGCCGGGAGAUAUCUGGUUCUCCUCGAAAGCUAUUUAGGUAGCACCUCGCGUCUCACCAUUGGGGGUAGAGCACUGUUUCGGCUAGGGGGUCAUCCCGACUUACCAAACCGAUGCAAACUCCGAAUACCAAUGAGUGCAAUCGCGGGAGACACACGGCGGGUGCUAAGAUCCGUCGUGGAAAGGGAAACAGCCCAGACCGCCAGCUAAGGUCCCUAAACCAUGUUAAGUGGGAAACGAUGUGGGAAGGCUCAGACAGCUAGGAGGUUGGCUUAGAAGCAGCCAUCCUUUAAAGAAAGCGUAAUAGCUCACUAGUCGAGUCGGCCUGCGCGGAAGAUGUAACGGGGCUAAACAUGGUACCGAAGCUGCGGAUUCGGUCACUUUUCGGAGUGGCCGGAUGGUAGAGGAGCGUUCUGUAAGCCGCUGAAGGUGUGCUGGGAAGCAUGCUGGAGGUAUCAGAAGUGCGAAUGCUGACAUGAGUAACGAUAAGAGGGGUGAAAAACCCCUCCGCCGAAAGACCAAGGUUUCCUGUUCAACGCUAAUCGGAGCAGGGUUAGUCGGCACCUAAGGCGAGGCCGAAAGGCGUAGUCGAUGGAAAACAGGUUAAUAUUCCUGUACUUGAAUAUGCUGCGAUGGGGUGACGGAGAAGGCUAUACCAGACGGGCGUUGGUUGUCCCGAUCUAAGCGUGUAGGCUGAGAGCUUAGGCAAAUCCGGGCUCUUAAAGCUGAGACGUGAUGGCGAAGAUCUCUUUUGAUCUGAGUGGUAAGUGCCAUGCUCCCAAGAAAAACCUCUAAGCUUCAGGCAUAUUUAAACCGUACCCCAAACCAACACAGGUGGUCAGGUAGAGAAUACUAAGGCGCUUGAGACAACUCUGGUGAAGGAACUAGGCAAAAUAGCACCGUAACUUCGGGAGAAGGUGCGCCAGCCUGGGUGACGGGGCUUGCCCCCUGAGCUCAGGUUGGCCGAAGUGACCAGGUGGCUGCGACUGUUUAUCAAAAACACAGCACUCUGCAAACUCGCAAGAGGACGUAUAGGGUGUGACGCCUGCCCGGUGCCGGAAGGUUAAUUGAUGGGGUUAGUCUUCGGACAAAGCCCUUGAUCGAAGCCCCGGUAAACGGCGGCCGUAACUAUAACGGUCCUAAGGUGAAUGAACGCCUUAGUAAAACCAAACCAUAUGCGGGAAACUCCUCCAAAACUGCUCGGUACUCAUCGAGCCGGUUUUCAGCAGAAAAAAGCAAUGCUUCAUAGCACGCUUUUGGACGCAAUAAAAACACCACGGCUCGGCAGUAAAAAUCCGACAGACACGGGGACAAUCCGCAGGAAAGGCCCAGCGCAAGCGCGCCGGGAAUCCUCAGAGACUUUAUGUUUGGAGAUACUUCAUGAGAUUAGAAGCACAGUGGAUAGUGGGCUUUGUUGAUGGCGAGGGCUGUUUUCACAUCGGCAUCAGCAAAAACGACUCCGCGACCCUCGGAGUUCAGGUGCUACCUGAAUUCACGGUGGUCCAACACGAGCAAUCGGUAAAAGUAUUGCACGCGCUCAAGGCAUAUUUUGGGUGCGGUGUUGUGCGGGUCAACCGCAAAGACAAGACAUCCACCCGGAUGGCUUAUCGAGUACGCAACCUGCAACAUCUGCUGGAUAUAAUCUCCCCUUUCUUUCUAAAGCAUCCUUUGAAGACGCACAAAAACGUGGAAUUUCGCAAAUUCCGCCGAGUGCUACUGAAAAUGGAAAAAGGCGAGCAUCUAACCGCGCAAGGCAUCGAAGAAAUUCGAGCCAUUGUCGCCCAGAUGAAUCGCAAAUCGCAAACAGAAUGAAAGGCAAGUAUCUAAGAGAAAGUCCGACUUUUCUGGAAACAGAUAAGAGCAAUCGAGCGAAAUUCCUUGUCGGGUAAGUUCCGACCUGCACGAAUGGCGUAACGAUGGCCACGCUGUCUCCACCAGAGGCUCAGUGAAAUUGAAAUCGCGGUUAAGAUGCCGUGUACCCGCGGCUAGACGGAAAGACCCCGUGAACCUUUACUAUAGCUUGGCACUGGACUCUGACACUAUAUGUGUAGGAUAGGUGGGAGACUUUGAAGCGUUGUCGCUAGAUAGCGUGGAGUCAACCUUGAAAUACCACCCUUAUAUUGUUGGGGUUCUAACUCCGGCCCCUUAUCGGGGUCGAGGACAGUGUCUGGUGGGUAGUUUGACUGGGGCGGUCUCCUCCCAAAGAGUAACGGAGGAGCACGAAGGUUGGCUAAGCAUGGUCGGAAAUCAUGCGGUUAGUGCAAUGGUAUAAGCCAGCUUGACUGCGAGACUCACAAGUCGAGCAGGUAGGAAACUAGGUCAUAGUGAUCCGGUGGUUCUGAAUGGAAGGGCCAUCGCUCAACGGAUAAAAGGUACUCCGGGGAUAACAGGCUGAUACCGCCCAAGAGUUCAUAUCGACGGCGGUGUUUGGCACCUCGAUGUCGGCUCAUCACAUCCUGGGGCUGAAGUUGGUCCCAAGGGUAUGGCUGUUCGCCAUUUAAAGUGGUACGCGAGCUGGGUUCAGAACGUCGUGAGACAGUUCGGUCCCUAUCUGCCGUGGGCGUUGGAGAUUUGAGGAAAGCUGCUCCUAGUACGAGAGGACCGGAGUGGACGAACCUCUGGUGUUCGGGUUGUCACGCCAGUGGCACUGCCCGGUAGCUAUGUUCGGACGGGAUAACCGCUGAAAGCAUCUAAGCGGGAAGCCUCUUCCAAGAUGAGAUCUCCCUGGAGCCUUGAGCUCCCUGUAGGGCCGUUGAAGACGACAACGUUGAUAGGCCAGGUGUGGAAGCGCAGCAAUGCGUUAAGCUAACUGGUACUAAUUGCCCGUGAGGCUUGACCAUAUAAUGC
RNAcentral lists this ribosomal RNA (3659 nucleotides) under Cellvibrionales bacterium. RNAcentral describes it as "23S ribosomal RNA". It matches the Rfam family "Bacterial large subunit ribosomal RNA". The record is from RNAcentral. Lineage: Bacteria; Pseudomonadati; Pseudomonadota; Gammaproteobacteria; Cellvibrionales.